RNAcentral lists this ribosomal RNA (448 nucleotides) under uncultured Gammaproteobacteria bacterium. Its description in RNAcentral is "bacterial SSU rRNA". It matches the Rfam family "Bacterial small subunit ribosomal RNA", at positions 80 to 524 of the family's 1533-position model. The record is from RNAcentral. Lineage: Bacteria; Pseudomonadati; Pseudomonadota; Gammaproteobacteria.
CAAUCCUGGCGACGAGCGGCGAACGGGUGAGUAAUGCUUGGGAAUCUGCCCAUUAGUGGGGAACAACCAGCCGAAAGGUUGGCUAAUACCGCAUACGCCCUACGGGGGAAAGCGGGGGAUCGUAAGACCUCGCGCUAAUGGAUGAGCCCAAGUCGGAUUAGCUUGUUGGUAGGGUAACGGCCUACCAAGGCGACAAUCCGUAGCUGGUCUGAGAGGACGACCAGCCACACUGGGACUGAGACACGGCCCAGACUCCUACGGGAGGCAGCAGUGGGGAAUAUUGGACAAUGGGGGAAACCCUGAUCCAGCGACGCCGCGUGUGUGAAGAAGGCCUGCGGGUUGUAAAGCACUUUUAGUGGGGAUGAAAAGCCUAGGGAUAACACCUCUGGGUCUUGACCUAACCCACAGAAAAAGCACCGGCUAACUCUGUGCCAGCAGCCGCGGUAAU